This 67-nucleotide transfer RNA is filed under the name Methylobacterium sp. 4-46. RNAcentral's name for it is "tRNA-Und (NNN) (tRNA-Und-NNN-4-1)". The record is from RNAcentral. Lineage: Bacteria; Pseudomonadati; Pseudomonadota; Alphaproteobacteria; Hyphomicrobiales; Methylobacteriaceae.
AUAAUUCAAAUAGGUUGGUUGGACUCUGACUCCGUUAGUCGUGGUUCGAAUCCACGUCCCCCAGCCA